Myotis lucifugus (little brown bat) is the source of this 145-nucleotide small nucleolar RNA. It matches the Rfam family "Small nucleolar RNA SNORA48". From Rfam's summary of the family: The snoRNA ACA 48 has been identified to guide pseudouridylation of the residue U3797 in the 28S rRNA subunit. Its host gene EIF4A1 (eukaryotic translation initiation factor 4A1) is shared with U67 and snoRNA mgU6-77 NCBI's taxonomy places the organism in Eukaryota, Metazoa, Chordata, Mammalia, Chiroptera, Vespertilionidae. The record is from Rfam.
AUUCCCUGGCAAUGGGCAAGGAGACACCUGAUUGGUGGUGUCGCUCUUAAAACAGUCAGGGUCAAGGCAGACAUACUGUUCUAAGUUUAUGCUACCUUGAUGUCAAUGUUGGUGGCCAGAGCUGGUUCAUGCCUGGGGCACAUUA